AAUCGAUGAUCCUCGAUAUACCUCACCAUUUUUUGCCUUUCAGCCUGUAUACCUCCGUCGCAAAUCUACCAUUUGAAUGCCCCAAAGUAAGUUCAACUGGGCCCCAACACGCCAAUGCGUCAGGUCAAGGUGCAGCUCAUGAAAUGGGAAGCAAUGGGCUACAAUUUCUAAAUUAGAACAAACAAAAAACUACAUGAAACAUAGUCAUGAAGGCGGAUUUAGCAGUAAAAGAAGAACAGCAAGCUUCUUUUAACAAGGCCCUGGGACGUGUACAAACCGCCCGUCACCCUCUUCAAUAGCACCCCUUCAGUUAUAUAACACCUUUUUAGCACCUUAGAAGAGGCAAGUCGUAACAUGGUAAGUGUACUGGAAAGUGCACUUGGAAACAAAGUAUAGCUUAAUUAAAGCAUUUCGCUUACACCGAAAAAACAUCUGAUGAGCCCGGAUUACUUUGAUGCUUCAAAUCUAGCC
This 471-nucleotide ribosomal RNA is filed under the name Mantidactylus sp. 4 MM-2016. RNAcentral's name for it is "partial 12S ribosomal RNA". The stretch from base 1 to 395 matches the Rfam family "Bacterial small subunit ribosomal RNA", at positions 949 to 1533 of the family's 1533-position model. The record is from RNAcentral. Lineage: Eukaryota; Metazoa; Chordata; Amphibia; Anura; Mantellidae.